RNAcentral lists this ribosomal RNA (497 nucleotides) under uncultured bacterium. RNAcentral's name for it is "partial 16S ribosomal RNA". It matches the Rfam family "Bacterial small subunit ribosomal RNA", at positions 28 to 507 of the family's 1533-position model. The record is from RNAcentral.
GAUGAACGCUGGCGGCGUGCCUAAUACAUGCAAGUCGAGCGAACAGACGAGGAGCUUGCUCCUCUGACGUUAGCGGCGGACGGGUGAGUAACACGUGGAUAACCUACCUAUAAGACUGGGAUAACUUCGGGAAACCGGAGCUAAUACCGGAUAAUAUAUUGAACCGCAUGGUUCAAUAGUGAAAGACGGUUUUGCUGUCACUUAUAGAUGGAUCCGCGCCGCAUUAGCUAGUUGGUAAGGUAACGGCUUACCAAGGCGACGAUGCGUAGCCGACCUGAGAGGGUGAUCGGCCACACUGGAACGGAGCCACGCUCCAGACUCCUACGGGAGGCAGCAGUAGGGAAUCUGCCGCAAUGGGCGAAAGCUUGACGGAGCAACGCCGCGUGAGUGAUGAAGGUCUUCGGAUCGUAAAACUCUGUUAUUAGGGAAGAACAAAUGUGUAAGUAACUAUGCACGUCUUGACGGUACCUAAUCAGAAAGCCACGGCUAACUACGUG